UGUCGUCAGCUCGUGUCGUGAGAUGUUGGGUUAAGUCCGUAACGAGCGCAACCCUUGUCCUUAGUUACCAGCACGUUAUGGUGGGCACUCUAAGGAGACUGCCGGUGCAAACCGGAGGAAGGUGGGGAUGACGUCAAGUCAUCAUGGCCCUUACGGCCUGGGCUACACACGUGCUACAAUGGUCGGUACAAAGGGUUGCCAAGCCGCGAGGUGGAGCUAAUCCCAUAAAACCGAUCGUAGUCCGGAUCGCAGUCUGCAACUCGACUGCGUGAAGUCGGAAUCGCUAGUAAUCGUGAAUCAGAAUGUCACGGUGAAUACGUUCCCGGGCCUU
Molecule: ribosomal RNA, 331 nt
Filed under: uncultured Pseudomonas sp.
Lineage: Bacteria; Pseudomonadati; Pseudomonadota; Gammaproteobacteria; Pseudomonadales; Pseudomonadaceae
Description: bacterial SSU rRNA
Rfam family: Bacterial small subunit ribosomal RNA
Source: RNAcentral